Molecule: ribosomal RNA, 1118 nt
Filed under: Leuconostoc carnosum
Lineage: Bacteria; Bacillati; Bacillota; Bacilli; Lactobacillales; Lactobacillaceae
Description: bacterial SSU rRNA
Rfam family: Bacterial small subunit ribosomal RNA
Source: RNAcentral
GCAGUAGGAAUCUUCCACAAUGGGCGAAAGCCUGAUGGAGCAACGCCGCGUGUUGAUGAAGGCUUUCGGGUCGUAAAGCACUGUUGUAUGGGAAGAAAAGUUAAGGUAGGGAAUGACCUUAGCCUGACGGUACCAUACCAGAAAGGGACGGCUAAAUACGUGCCAGCAGCCGCGGUAAUACGUAUGUCCCGAGCGUUAUCCGGAUUUAUUGGGCGUAAAGCGAGCGCAGACGGUUGGUUAAGUCUGAUGUGAAAGCCCGGAGCUCAACUCCGGAAAGGCAUUGGAAACUGGUUAACUUGAGUGCAGUAGAGGUAAGUGGAACUCCAUGUGUAGCGGUGGAAUGCGUAGAUAUAUGGAAGAACACCAGCGGCGAAGGCGGCUUACUGGACUGUAACUGACGUUGAGGCUCGAAAGUGUGGGUAGCAAACAGGAUUAGAUACCCUGGUAGUCCACACCGUAAACGAUGAACACUAGGUGUUAGGAGGUUUCCGCCUCUUAGUGCCGAAGCUAACGCAUUAAGUGUUCCGCCUGGGGAGUACGACCGCAAGGUUGAAACUCAAAGGAAUUGACGGGGACCCGCACAAGCGGUGGAGCAUGUGGUUUAAUUCGAAGCAACGCGAAGAACCUUACCAGGUCUUGACAUCCUUUGAAGCUUUUAGAAAUAGAAGUGUUCUCUUCGGAGACAAAGUGACAGGUGGUGCAUGGUCGUCGUCAGCUCGUGUCGUGAGAUGUUGGGUUAAGUCCCGCAACGAGCGCAACCCUUAUUGUUAGUUGCCAGCAUUCAGAUGGGCACUCUAGCGAGACUGCCGGUGACAAACCGGAGGAAGGCGGGGACGACGUCAGAUCAUCAUGCCCCUUAUGACCUGGGCUACACACGUGCUACAAUGGCGUAUACAACGAGUUGCCAACCUGCGAAGGUGAGCUAAUCUCUUAAAGUACGUCUCAGUUCGGACUGCAGUCUGCAACUCGACUGCACGAAGUCGGAAUCGCUAGUAAUCGCGGAUCAGCACGCCGCGGUGAAUACGUUCCCGGGUCUUGUACACACCGCCCGUCACACCAUGGAAGUUUGUAAUGCCCAAAGCCGGUGGCCUAACCGUAAGGAGGGAACCGUCUAAGGC